Molecule: ribosomal RNA, 292 nt
Filed under: uncultured bacterium
Lineage: Bacteria
Description: partial 16S ribosomal RNA
Rfam family: Bacterial small subunit ribosomal RNA
Source: RNAcentral
GUGUCAGCCGCCGCGGUAAUACGUAGGACGCAAACGUUGUCCGGAUUUACUGGGUGUAAAGGGUGCUCAGGCGGUCUUGAUAGUCAAGGGUGAAAUCUCCCGACUCAAUCGGGAAACUGCCUUUGAUACUACAAGGCUUGAGUGCAGAAGAGGCGGAUGGAAUUUCUGGUGUAGCAGUGAAAUGCGUAGAUAUCAGAAAGAACACCAGUGGCGAAGGCGGUCCGCUGGUCUGUCACUGACGCUAAAGCACGAAAGCGUGGGGAGCAAACAGGAUUAGAAACCCCCGUAGUCC